UGGUUCUGGCAUNGAUGAAGAACGCAGCGAAAUGCGAUAAGUAAUGUGAAUUGCAGAAUUCAGUGAAUCAUCGAAUCUUUGAACGCACAUUGCGCCCAUUAGUAUUCUAGUGGGCAUGCCUGUUCGAGCGUCAUUUCAACCCUUAAGCCCUGUUGCUUAGCGUUGGGAGCCUGCCGUCGCAGCUCCUCAAAGUUAGUGGCGGAGUCGGUACACACUCUAGACGUAGUAAUUCUUAUCUCGCCUAUAGGUUGUGCCGGUCCCCUGCCGUUAAACCCCCCAAUUUUUCAAGGUUGACCUCGGAUCAGGUAGGAAUACCCGCUGA
This 322-nucleotide unclassified non-coding RNA is filed under the name uncultured fungus. RNAcentral describes it as "partial contains 5.8S ribosomal RNA and internal transcribed spacer 2". The stretch from base 1 to 133 matches the Rfam family "5.8S ribosomal RNA", at positions 22 to 154 of the family's 154-position model. Lineage: Eukaryota; Fungi. The record is from RNAcentral.